Molecule: long non-coding RNA, 1909 nt
Organism: Canis lupus familiaris (dog)
Lineage: Eukaryota; Metazoa; Chordata; Mammalia; Carnivora; Canidae
Exons: 5
Source: RefSeq, a predicted model, not a curated record
AGGGCAGGGGCCUGUCUGAAAACAGAGCAGACAGUGGCAGGAAUCGAGGCCCACUCUGGGCUCUGUACCAGGCCAUCGGGUCCUGCCCCCACUGCUCUCCUCUGCCUGGGAACAAGGGCAGAGCCCCUAGCCAUGCCCUGCGACAGGAAGGGACAGUAUAACCACUCUCAGGUAUCUGCAGCGAGACCUGGUCCUCGACUGCCACCACCACACUGGCAUGAAAUAAUGUGGUUAACUCUGCACCGGGACCCUGCACAUGAGCCUUUGUCAGCCUUCCCACGGCCAGUGGUCAGAAAAGUGGCUUCCCAGGUCAGGCCAGUCAGGGUGCAAACAGCAAGUGUGGGAGGAGGCCCCCAGCUCUAUCCCCAACUCCACCCCAAGGCAGGUGAGAUGGGAAUCCAGGGGCUCCAAGAAGUGGCAGGGUCAGAUCUGGCUCUCGCCCCAAACCAGCUGUAAAUAGUCUGGUGACCAAGAAGCCACCUCUGCCUCUCUCUGGGCCUCAUUUUCUGCUCACAACAGCCUGAGCGGCUCCACUGUGCCACCUGGGAGGGGCCUGGCUCUUACUCGGGGGAGCAGGGGAGCUUCUGGGAAAGCCCAGCAUUCAAGGGAAGCAGCUCAUGGUGCAGGGAACUGGCGCACAGGGCGCUGGGCAUGGGGGGAGGACAAGUAAGGGCAUCACUGAGUGGACACAGCAAAGGGCACCGGAAGAGGCUGUGCAAGAGCUGAGAAGAGGAUCCUGCAGAAACAGCAGAGCACCCAGCAGCUGCCCUGGCAGAAAAGAACACGCUGUGCCGGCUCUUGGCACCGUCACACAAACAGACCUAGGAGGGGCUGGCUUGGCAGUCGGCCACGGCUCCUGGGGCCUCGAGAGUCGGAGGUGACCAGCAAGCUCUCUCAAGUCUAGCAUCCGGGCUCCCUGUCUGUGGAUAGAAUGGACCAAGUCAUUCUAGGUCCAGGCACAGAGGAAGACAUAGUCUUGAGCUCUGACUGCCUCCAGGACAUGGCUUCAGGCCAGGACUGGGACAGUUCUGGGUCAAGCCAUCCCUUCAAUGUCCAGGAGCUGUGGAGAUGAGGAUGGGGCGGAGGAGACAGAAAGUUGGAAGAGGCCUGUCCACAGUUCCCCAAGCAGGAUGGGGCAGAGUUGACCCCAGGGCCUCUGCUGGCCAAGGAGCCAGAUGUCAAAAGAUCCCAAAGAGCUUUCUGGCCACCCAGUGAGAAACUGCAGAGAGUCCAGUACCCAGCCCUCCAAAGCCAAACCAUCACCAAAUUCUACUGGCUCUUCCUUCAAAAUCCAGCCAGUAUAUCUGCCCAAUGCUCACCACCAUUACUGCCGUCACUGUGUCCAAAUCAUCACCUCUUACCUGCUACAGCUUCCUGACCACCUCCUUGCCCUCGUCAAGUCUGCUCUCAACACAGCAGCCAGAGGGAUCCUGGUAGGUCAGACCACAGCUCCCCAGUACCGCAAACCCCCAAUGGCUUCCAAUUCACCCUGAGUAAAGGCCGAGUCUCCAUCAUAGCCUACAAGCCCCCUCUUCCCAGGCCUCUUCCCCUGGAACCUUCUGCUCCACCCACACUGGUCCUUUUCUGCGCAUUGGACACAUCAAGCAGCCUCCCACCCCAUGACCCUUGCACCCACUGUCCUGUCUGAAGCUCCUCCCUCAGGUCUCUGCAGUGCUCCCUCUAUUCUGGUCUCUGUAAAUGUCCCUUUAGAUAAGCCUUCCCUGGGCAGCCCCGGUGGCUCAGUGGUUUAGCGCCGCCUGCAGCCCAGGGCGUGAUCCUGGGGACCUGGGAUGGAGUCCCUCGUCGGGCUCCCUGCAUGGAGCCUGCUUCUCCCUCUGCCUGUGUCUCUGCCUCUCUCUCUCUCCCUGCAUCUCUAUGAAUAAAUAAAUAAAUAAAAUCUUUAAAAAUA